Long non-coding RNA from Sapajus apella (tufted capuchin), 6594 nucleotides. RefSeq lists it as uncharacterized. Lineage: Eukaryota; Metazoa; Chordata; Mammalia; Primates; Cebidae. The transcript is spliced from 2 exons. The record is from RefSeq and is a predicted model, not a curated record.
GGGAUCCUCGUGCCUCAGCCUCCCAAAGUGUAAGAGCCACCCUGCCCGGCCUAUUUCAUUCUAUGUCUUCUUCUUUGCAAUGUUAGUACCAGGCUAUGCUUUAAAUCUUUGUAGCUUUCAAAUAUGGUGAUGUUUCUUUUUUUUUUUUCUCCCAACUUCUAACAAGCAGCACAAGUGGAGGUUCACUUUAGAAGCCAGUUAAAGUUGCUUGGGGUCAGUUCCUGCUGCAGUUCGGACUUCAGGCCUGGCAUUCGAACCCCUGGGCCCUCUCCCCUCUGAGGCUGCUUUCCCCUGCUCCUCUCUGUACCUGACGUGGAUCUCCAAGCCAGCGGUCGUCAAGCUUUUUGGAUGGCAACGCCUUACUGAUCAGAUAUUUGGACACCUCUGAUAGGUGCAUAUUUAUUUAUUUGCAAAUUAAAUACAGGUACUCUUGCACUGACACCUUAUUUACAUUAGAAAACAUACAAAGAAGAGAAAUACAUGAGGUAAAAAAUAAAGACAAGCACAUGAUGCCUCAUUUAUGAUUCUAAAACCCCUAAAUCUCUGAAAACAGAAAAUUUGAUUGCAAAUCAUUUGGUGGCUGUCAGGCCAAGAGGAGAAGGAGUUCCUGAAGCCUCUUUGCUGCCCUUUCAUAAACUCUGUAGUAAGGAAGCAGUGAGUGUGCAUGGGUUUAGGUAGUUAAUUACUCACAGUAGUUAAUUACUAUUCUUACUGAUUCCCAUUGCACACUCCACCCACUGAAAUUCUGUAGUGGGUAUGUGGAGUGGGACCAGAUGAUGCUGUGCUCACAGUGGACCUAUGUCACAGCCGAGGAACUGUGAGCUUAAGUCCUGGCCUUAUCAGAAAACUGCCAGCGAAUGUGCCUAACCCUUGCCUUUGGGGAAGACAUUAUCCUUACCACCUUAGGACAUCCGUAAGAUGUCAGUUACAGUUAUGGAAUAGCUUUGGGGAGGAAGACAUUGUCUGUUUUUGUUCUACACACUCCAGCUCCCAAGACAUAUUUGCUAGCCAACCAUUUGUGAAGAGAGCUUCUCAGUGCUCUUUGGUUGAGGACAAGACUGUGCAGAAAUGCCAAAAAAUCUGGGAAGAAUUGUUUCCCAACAGCGGAACACCCAGCCCACACAGACAAAAGACUAUUUAGAGCCUUUAUGCUCUUUGAGGAUCCAUCACAAGUUUUGCUGCAGUUCCUAAAGAAGAGCUUCUAAGACCCUUGGAAUCUCUAGAGUGAUGAGUGCCUUUGGUAAGCUAAUGAGAUAACUGGUGGCUGUGGUCUGUAUCUAGCUUCAGUGGGAGGCUGCCCACCAGAGGGACCAAGGCAUGAUUGGUGGGAUGGUACUUACAGCCUUACUCCUGACCUCCAGGGAAGGAAAAGGGGCUAGAGAUGGACUUAAUCACCAAUGGCCAAUAAUUUGAUUGAUCCUGCCUAUGUAAUGACUUUUCACAAAAUCCUAUAGGAUGGGGUUUGGAGAGCUUCUGGGUUGGUGAAUGCAUCUAUGUACUGGCAGGUGGUGCACCCCAAUUCCAUCAGGACAGAAGAUCCUCUACUUGGGGCUGUACUGGACCUCACCCUAUGUAUUAAUAUUAUUAUUGAUUAUGUUGAUAUUAAUAAUUAUGAUAAUAAUUAUAUGAUAAUUGAUUAUAUUAACAUAAUUAUUCUUCUGACUGUUCAUUUGUAUAUUUUAUAGUAUCUUUUGUAAUAAACUGGUAAAUGUAAGUACAGUGUUUACCUGAGUUAUGUGAGUCAUUAUAACAAAUUUGGAGGCUGAGGAGGUAUUGUGGGAUCUCCUGAUUUGUAGCUGGUUAGUCAGAAGUACUGGAGGCCCAGGACUUGUAAUUGGCACCUGAAGCAGGGGUAGUCUUGUGAGACCGAGCCCCUAACUUAUGGGGUCUGAUACUAACUCAGGUAGAUAAUGCCUCAGGUAGAUAACUCAGGUAGAUAAUUGAAGCGUAGGACACUUCUGGCUGGUGUUGGAAAAUUGGUUGAUGUGGGUAGAAAACCCUACACAUUUGGUGUCAAAAGUGUUCUGUGGGUAAAAACGGUUUCCACUUCCUGGUUCCUUCUGGGCAUGGUGUGUAAAAAAUGCGUGGUGUGUGCACCAUUUUGCCUUUCUAGCAUCAGGGAAACAAAGUUGAUAAGCCAAAGAACAUCUAGCUUCAUUGAUUUCAGGCCCUGUGUAAGAAGAAAUUUUACUAUUUUCUUUCUGUGCCUGAAUAGGUCUUCUUGCAUGCACUCAUUCUGGAGGCCGUUGCUCUGCAGAAGUAUGGCUCCAAGCAUGGCGUGCACACCAGCUGCUGGUCUGUGAUGGGGUGGAAUGAAUUCAGUGCUAUACAAGUGAGAACUGACAAGUGGAGAGUCAGGGAAGCUGCUGUCAUUUCAGAACUGCGUGCUUGUUUUCUCUGGUGGAAGAGCUGUGAGGUGGAGAGAGACCAGGCUGGUCAAACGUAGAACCAGGUGAUGAAGGAAAAAGGAUCAAUGUCGUGAUGCUCAAUUUGGGCAGUACCGACAUUUUGGAUGGAAUAAUUCUUUGCUGGGAGGGACUGUACUGUGCAUUUGAGGGUGUUGAGUAGCAUCUCUGGCAUCUACCCACUAGAUGCUGGUAACACCCCAUCUCCAAGCUGUGACAAUAAAAAAUCUCUCCAAACAUUGCCGCAUGUCCCACAUGAUGCACUAGUUGAUAACCUAUUCGAUCUAAUCACACUGGGCAAAGUUCCCUAGUGAGAAGAUUCUAGAAGCACAAUGUUGUUGACUUGUAUUUGUAAUUUGGGAAUGUAUGUAUUUAUGCUUAAGUUAACCUUAAAUAUAUUAGAUAGACACAGACACACACACACACACACACCCCACAUUGCAUAGUAUAUAUUUGUGGUUUCUUAAUCAAGUUGAAAGAAGCUUUAGAGGUGAUAUCUGAACAAGCAGACAAAUUACAAGUCAGGCCUUAGCACCCUGGGCCCUUUGGGCAUUAAAUACGACAAGAACUUACAUAUUUACUGCCUUCACAUGGAAUAGCCAUAUUUACUUAUUUACAAAAUGGUACAGACGAGGGACCAGCUGUUUGGGUAUGUUUGUGUCCAGUGGUUCCUGGGCGUAUUUCUUUAAGUGGUCUGCCUAUCUUGAUUCUCAUCAGGAACACUGUGAUUUUCUAAGUUUUAAAUGGGUAGAAAGGGCCUGCAGUUAAAGUCUCCCUUUUAAGCGUGAGCACUCAAUUAACUCAUCUUGCAUCUUCGGGAAACUCAGUUACAGCUAAUACGUGUAUCGGGCUAUUGCUUUAGGGUUACAUAUUUCCUGUCUAGAUUUUUUUUUUUUGACAUUUUCAGAUAAAAGUUCGCUCGGAAGGAGAGAUUUAUUGGUUUGCGUCGGCUGUCCCUUCCUUAUCGCCUCUCUGUCCUAAAUUGGAGCUAACUGCUGGCCAGCCACCCGCAGCAGCUUCUGCUGGGGGAAGAGACUGAUCCUUCCAUCCUCUUAUUCCUACCUCUUCCCACAUUCAGGCUUGAACUGAACAUUUUCCAGAAACCAAAACCACUGCCUUUUGGGGUGUUUAUCCCAUGAUGGUGGGAACUCAUUUCCCCGUGGCUAUUUAAUUUUUAUUGUGUUAUUCCUGGGGAGGCCAAAGACACAAAAAUUUGGAGAGACCAGAGAUUGAUGUGAGCACACAGGGGCUAGCUGAGCAUGAGCCUGAAGCCAGCAGGCAGGACUGAGCGUAUGAGAGCAGCUCAAUAGUCGCCAGUCUUCUUUCCUCAUUCUGCCGUUUGACAUCUCCCUCUAACAGAACUGCCUUCGGCUAUGCUGAUAUGUCCUCCAGACCUUUGACCUGAGCUCACAGAACUGGCAGGCUUUUGGUCAUAGACAAAAUUUAUACCAUCUGGAAACUAUAAUAAUCACUCCUGAGACAUCUUACUAAUGGGUGUUUUCCUCUAGAUUCUGGUUCCUGACCAAUCUCUACUCCGGCUUCUGGCAAUGCCCCUAUUGUCUUUGAUGGGGACAAAACACUGCCAUCAGGAGGGACUAAGCUGAAUUGUAUUAAGCAAUGUCUACCGGCUUGGAGGAAAAUUCUCCUCCAGUCCAGAGAAGAGGUUCUUUUGUAAAUGAUGUAAAGUCCAAUACUGAAAUUUCACUGUGUUAAAGAACAUGCCUUAAUUAUGCCUGUGCACACAAGAUUUUUUUUAUCACAGGCCUCUGUCAUCUGAGAAAAACAACGCUUGAGGUUUCUCAGUCAAGAGAAAGAGAGGCAGGGGAACAGAGAUAACUGUUUUACAUCUAUAGUUAACUCUUAAUUGAUUAUAUAAUUAUAUAAAACAGUUAACUCUAUAUAUCGGAUAUUUUCACUACAUUAGAUUUCACACCAGUAGGACAUAUUGUAAAAAUACUGUCUUUCUCUGCUAUGCAUUUUGAUGUUCUCUGUCUGUGGAAAAUGGUGGCUUAUAGCACACACAACAAUAAAGAUACAUGUUUUUGGAUAAUUUAUGUCCAUGGUUCCUCUUGCAAUAUUCUCCUCUUCAUUAUCAGUUGAGGUAUGUGUGUAGUGAGAGGCAGCUGUAUGCCAGGAUUUGUUUUGGGAGCUCUAUGUGCAUGAUUGAUAGUGUUCUCUCCAGCUCCCAGUGUGUCAGUAUCAUUACCCCAGCUUUAGAGAUGAGGAAGUGAGGGCUUUGAUAAAAACAGGCCACCCUGGAACAUGCUCAGAGAUGAAAGAUACCAUCCUUGCCCUUGCGGAGCUCCAUAUCUCCCCGACGAUAACAUGAGAAAAUCCUUGUUUAAAACCAAAGUGGAGGCAUUUAGGCCAACUAAUGGUGGUGUCCUCUAUGUCCAGACACUUCUGAGGCUGAGUCUUGAUGCGCACGAGCCUUCUUUGGUCCCAGUAGUAAAGAGCUUCCUUUGCUAUCCAGGGCUAUCCUGUAGGGCCAGAUAAGCAGGGCAUUGAAGGUAAUAGAGUUAGCUCAUUUACAGCAGCCUUCUUGCCUAAAAUAAGCUAUUUAAUUGCCUGCUCUUGGAACUGAAUCUACUUAGGGUAGAUAAUGACUCCAAACAGCCUACUGGAGUAUACUCAGUGUUAUCUGAAUGCUCCUAAAUUAGGAUUGUAGCAAGUUUUUAACCAAACUCUGCCUUGCAAGGCUUUGAGAAGCUCAGUCUUGAUAGAUUUUCACUCUUUCUUCCUGAGACAGGAAGAAAAUUUGCUGUUUAAUAAUUUGGCUGUAGGAUAAAGCCCAUUCCUAAUUCAUGAGUCUAUAAAAUGUCUCUAGCUCAAAAGAUAACUGUAGCUCACUCUGCCCACCCUAUUCCCAAUAUAAUUACAAGUAGAAAGAGAAAUUGUAAAGUGCUUUUAAUGGAAAAUUUUGCUCCAGAGGGCUUGAUAUCUCAAUAAGUGUGCUUGACACCCCCGUAACUGUCCACUGGCAGCUGCUACUCUCCUGAAAGACAGAUUGGUCUAUCCCAAGCUGAAGCCUAGACACUGGGAUUUGUGCACAUCCACAGAGCAGCCCACACUCAUUGCCCAAACUCACCGUCAGUGUUGGCAGUGUCAAACCUUCACCCCAAGUGAGCAUUCACCCACUUUCCUGUACCCCACUGUCUAAGGCAAACACUGUCUUUGCCAUCCCUUAUCAUUGGCCUUGUUAGAGCCAUAAGAAGCAGAACUGAGAAAGGACCCUUUUGAUUUGUAUCAAACAUGGCCAAGGUUUGCAUGCCAGAGAGAAGACAUGAUAGACUUUGAAGAAAAGGGAGAGUGGACAGCAAGAUGAAGACUGUGAGAGCUGGAUUCUGGUGGGGAGUUUUCAGCAGGCAGGUGGGAGAGAGGGAUGAAGAGAGAAGCUUUGGUGCAGACAUGGGAUGUGAGAGAGAACAGGUGUAGAGCAAUGGGAAAAGGGAAUUUUGGUUGUGGCAGUGGGUUGUAAAAUUGUAUUUGCUCAGGCUUCCUUCACAAAACACAGCAAAGCUUAGAAUUGAAUUAAAUUACCUUUGAUUUCUGGCCUCUGUUUACUCAAAUGAGAAAGUGGGCAGAGCCUAGAUAAGUUGUUUAUUUUAUUAACAAGAUAAACAACUGUUUGCUUGUCAAAACCCAGCUUGGAUGUCAUCCCAGCAAAGCCUUUCCUGCAGUCUCCCUGAAAAGUCAACUAUUGCCCACUCAGCAGCAUGCCAUCGCAGACAUGCACUUUUACACAUGCUCACCUAUGGCAUUGUACUGUCUUAUUGGUUUACACAUCUGCCUUUCUCCCAAGACUGUGAAAUGCUUGUGUUUUUCGUCUUGAUAUCUCUGGUAACCAUCAUGAUGUCUUAUAAGGGGUAUUUGCCUAAUAAAAGUGUAUUGGCAUCAACUUAAUGUAUAUGCCUUAUUGUGUUUUCCCUAUAAGGACUUCUAUAUUCAGAGUAAUACAGUUAUAUGGUAAGAUUUGCUGUCAUAUGUUGGGUUACGUGUGUGGGAUCCACUUAUUGUGAUGAAUGAUACAGGGGGGCAUCUUUAGUCUGAGGCUUGGAUCAAGCCCUGAAGAGAAGCCCAGAGCCUGAAGUCCUGUCUGGCACAUUUCAGACUCCUAGUAAAUUCUUUCUGAAUGAAUGAAUUGCUCUGGGUCUUAGCUUUCUCCAGAAUAAAAAGAGGGAUAAGACCA